Ribosomal RNA from Cercocebus atys (sooty mangabey), 119 nucleotides. NCBI's taxonomy places the organism in Eukaryota, Metazoa, Chordata, Mammalia, Primates, Cercopithecidae. The record is from Ensembl.
AUGUACGGCCAUACCACCCUGAACGCACCUGAUCUUGUCUGAUCUCAGAAGCUAAGCAGAAUCUGGCCUGGUUAGUACUUGGAUGGGAGACUGCCUGGGAAUACUGGGUGCUUUUUUGC